This 301-nucleotide ribosomal RNA is filed under the name uncultured bacterium. Its description in RNAcentral is "partial 16S ribosomal RNA". It matches the Rfam family "Bacterial small subunit ribosomal RNA", at positions 509 to 807 of the family's 1533-position model. The record is from RNAcentral.
CAGCAGCCGCGGUAAAACGGAGGGUGCAAGCGUUAAUCGGAAUUACUGGGCGUAAAGCGUGCGUAGGCGGUUUGUUAAGUCUGCUGUGAAAUCCCCGGGCUCAACCUGGGAAUGGCAGUGGAUACUGGCAAGCUAGAGUGUGUCAGAGGAUGGUGGAAUUCCCGGUGUAGCGGUGAAAUGCGUAGAGAUCGGGAGGAACAUCAGUGGCGAAGGCGGCCAUCUGGGACAACACUGACGCUGAGGCACGAAAGCGUGGGGAGCAAACAGGAUUAGAUACCCCAGUAGUCCCUGUCUCUUAUAC